AGGUAACAUCCAAAAGAUAGAUGCCUACCCGAUACAGUUUUCCUAUAGUAAAAGUUUUAUUUCUUGCUUGUGGUAUUCUUAGGAUUUUCUGCAGGUCUCAAAUGGUAAGAAAGCAUC
Small nucleolar RNA from Triticum dicoccoides, 117 nucleotides. RefSeq annotates it as small nucleolar RNA snoR104. NCBI's taxonomy places the organism in Eukaryota, Viridiplantae, Streptophyta, Magnoliopsida, Poales, Poaceae. The transcript has a single exon. The record is from RefSeq and is a predicted model, not a curated record.